This 387-nucleotide unclassified non-coding RNA is filed under the name uncultured bacterium. RNAcentral's name for it is "contains 16S-23S intergenic spacer region". The record is from RNAcentral.
UCCAGUUUAUCACUGGCAGUCCCCUUAGAGGGUCCAGCUUGACCUGAUGACAACUAAGGGUAAUGGUUGCGCUCGUUGCGGGACUUAACCCAACACUUCACAGCACGAGCUGACGACAGCCAUGCAGCACCUGUGUUAGCCUUCGAUUGGAUACGAUCGGUCCGGCUUUCACCGAACCUACUGCUAUCAUGUCAAGCCCAGGUAAGGUUCCUCGCGUAGCCUCGAAUUAAACCACAUGCUCCACCGCUUGUGCGGGUCCCCGUCAAUUCCUUUGAGUUUCAGUCUUGCGACCGUACUCCCCAGGUGGUGGAUUUAAUGUGUUAACUGCGACACCGGGAGGAUCGACACUCCCAACAUCUAAUCCACAUCGUUUACAGCAAGGACUAC